RNAcentral lists this unclassified non-coding RNA (1178 nucleotides) under Hevea brasiliensis (rubber tree). Lineage: Eukaryota; Viridiplantae; Streptophyta; Magnoliopsida; Malpighiales; Euphorbiaceae. The record is from RNAcentral.
GGCCACCCUUCAACUCAGGAUUCUACCUGAUUAGAAAUUACAUUGCAAGUUAGCUCGUCCCAAUCAAGUACAGAAAAUUGAUUACAUAUGAACAUUACUACUCCACAAAUCUAUUUCUUACUCUUUCUAGAUGAAGUUCAACAAACAAUGCAAAAGGAAACCCUCAAAUCAACUAAGUUAGGAUAACUAUAAAUUUUAUCCUUACAAAGAAAUCGAGGCUAGAUUCCCUUCUCAAAGGAUACGUCUAUCUUGAAGAAAGCCGUUGGUGCAAAUCAUCAGCCAAUGCCUGCCUCAAGCUAUCCCCAAAAUAAUGAAAUGACUUCUCGUUCUCAAGCACCCUUGUAGGAGACCCGUUCUCAUCCGGUUCCUUCCAAAUCUCUGGCUCAGGCUCCCUUGCAACCUGACACAAAUUAUGCAACACACAACAUGCAACAAUUGUCUGUGGGGCAUGAUUAAGACCCACGUUCAAAUCCUGCAAGAUCUCCCCCCUCCCCUUCAACAAACCAAUAGCCUCCACCACCACAGACCUCCCCUUCAUCAACAUCCCAUCAAACAAGUUCUGAGCUGGGGUCCCUGAACCAUUUGGAGAGAAGGGUGUCAUCAAGAAUGACAACAAAGGAUAACACCAAUCCCCGACUAUAUAAGGCCUCACAUGGUGACCCCUAAUAUUAAUCGCCUUAUCCCAGACAACAUCACCUGAAACAAGCCUAUUAUACAACAAACUGUCCCUAAAAUGUGUAGCAUCAUCAAUAGCACCUGGUGCCUUGACACACACAUCCCNNNNNNNAUCCCUUCUUGUGACCAGCCACUACCUGCAACAAAAUCGAAGGAAACCCAUAGCUGCAUUUAUAUAAAUUCCCUCCGCUUUGAUCACUGGCAAUUCUAUGGAGCUUAAUUGGGCUCCCAUCUAUAGCACCACACAUGUUAGGCAACGAAGUUAGCUCUUCAAAAGCUUGUGUAGUCUCAAUCAACCUACGCCUACUAACAGGAAUCUUAAUAAACUCAGGGUAAAGCUUAGUAGCCAACAAACGUGUUACCAUAUUAGUGAUCUUGGAAAUCAAGUAAGGCUCAAGAGAGUACCGAGAAGCAAGCGUCGUCGCGGAGUACCCAUGAACAAGCCGGGAAAGGACCAUGGCCACAGCAUAAUCCGAGGGCAAAGAAAGAUUGGAAGCAGUUAU